UUAACUGGGUAAAGGGCUAGACACAAGAAAAUGAAGGAGAAGGAAGGAUAAAACUCCCAUUUCAGCACCCCCUACUAAGUGCAGCAAAAUAAGGUGCAGGAAGAAUUACCCACUACUAUUUGUACCCACAACUAAUAAUUUUGCUAUUGGUGUUUACAAAUGGGCCUAAAAUAGCGGUAUUAUGGGAUAAUUCAAGGGCCUUUCUUC
RNAcentral lists this long non-coding RNA (207 nucleotides) under Vigna radiata. RNAcentral describes it as "long non-coding RNA (VRAD_LNC009688)". Lineage: Eukaryota; Viridiplantae; Streptophyta; Magnoliopsida; Fabales; Fabaceae. The record is from RNAcentral.